GUAAGAGCCCAUGUGUGCAUACAUGC
Molecule: non-coding RNA, 26 nt
Filed under: Homo sapiens (human)
Lineage: Eukaryota; Metazoa; Chordata; Mammalia; Primates; Hominidae
Source: RNAcentral